This is a non-coding RNA of Anas platyrhynchos (mallard), 6247 nucleotides long. Lineage: Eukaryota; Metazoa; Chordata; Aves; Anseriformes; Anatidae. The record is from RefSeq and is a predicted model, not a curated record.
GACUGCUCGGGGUUAGGCUGGGCAUCGGUCAGCGAGUGGUUAAAUAUAAUUGGUGAUGAAAAUCAAAAAUCUUCCAUGUAAUCAUAUUAAACAACCGAUUAAAGAACUAGAUGCUACUUCUAGGUAUGAUCUGGAGCCAUAAGCAAUGGACAGAGGUUAUGACAAGACCAUUUUACAUCUGUUGACACAUUUCUGAAAUGGUUUUAAUAGAACAUUUGUGGAUAUUACUAUCAAUAAAAUCUAAUUUAACAACAUAAUCUUGUCCUACAAAGCCUUGAAUGUACUCGCUGACAAUGACAACUAAAGCUGCCAUUUUCUCUUGGUCCCAUCUUGAAAUGCUGUGUGACCAUUUCACUCCUAGGAAAAUGCACUCAUUGUGUAUCACCAUCAAUGUCUUCAAGACAUACAUAAAGUAACAUUGGUAUUAGGUUUCGCCAAUAUGCAUGCAAAAUAUCAUUUCCAUAAAUUUUAGCAUGGAUAGAAGUUUGUAAGAAAAUUUCUUUUAAGAAAGAAUGUAAAACAAUUUACAAUUCAAAGAUCUAAUGUGUUAAAGUGAGGAAAUAGAAAAGAGAACUGAAAUGAUUUCAUGAAAAAAAUAUGUUUUACUUUCAGCUUUCUUCUGCUCACCUGACAUGCAGUAUCAUAUCCUCCAAAGAGAAUUGAGAUUCUAAAUAUCUCUUAUACCAUCUUUGUUCUUCAGGUACAGCUCUCUUUAUGAUUCCCGUUCAGCAGAGUGCUCAGGACACAGUAACUUUUACUAAGCAAGGAAACCAGUUGACUUUAAUGUGGUCACUCAUUGAUGGAAAAUCAAAUAUGUGCCAAAACACUGUGCUUUGGCCCACUUAGGCUAACACAUGCACACCGUACUUCAUUAAUAUACAAAAUUUCAGUUAAAUAUAAAUUGAAACAGCUACUGCAUGUUGUACAUUCUGAUAAGAAGAAGAAAAAUUGCCACCUCUGAAAGUAAAAUACAGAAUGUUGGAAGAAAACCAAAUGAAUAUUCUAUUUGUGAUAAAUCCCAUCCCUCAGGGAGACUUAGUGUUGGACCUUUGCCUCUGAAAAGAAGUGAUAUAUUGAGCUAAAGCUGAAUCUGCUUUUUAAGAACAACAUUGAUUCCACUCCCAUCCAUUCUCAAGAGUUUGAUUUCAGCCUGCAGGAAUACACCACACUUCAAAUCCAAUACAGCAGUUUUUCCAGCGAUGUGUUUUUCGUAUGAUUAUCUUAUACACCGCGAAGCAGAUGCAGAAGUUGAGACAUGCUAUUGUGACCAAAAAACAAAACAACAACAAAACAAACAAAACAACAACAAAACAAACAAACAAACAAAAACAUACAGGUUUCAGUUGCACACUAGGUGAAAGUCCUAGCAUAAAGAAAAUGGACUUGAAAUUGUCCAUGCUGCCAUUAUGCUGCUGGGGCACAAAGAUAGCUAGAUCUCUUACACUUGCAUCCUGUAUUACUUAUGGUGUGACCCGAGCUGUAAAGACCAUAACAUCCUCUCUUUCAGUGUUGUUUUAUGGAGAUAUGCUUUAGCUUAGAUCUGUUUUUAUGUUCCAUCAACUGGCUUCCCUUUCAGGAUUUUGUAUAAAACUCUACCAGAGUAUUUUUUUAUGGAUAACAUUAAAGGUAACAAAUAGCUGAACUCUGGCAAAUCUUAAAACUGUAUAGAAAUACAGACCAUUCAGUAUCAUCAUUAGUCUAAGGCAUUUUCUUUCAAGGACUAUAUACAUGUGGUGGAUUUCUAUACUUUUUACAAUGUUCUAGCACUGCAUCUUCUGACAUACCACCAGAGCCUUCAUCCUGUUAGAUCUUCCUUCAGCUGUAAGGUAUUUACCUGCAAUCUUUUUUACUGACUCUUACGUAUGCUGAGAUGUGAUGUGUUACAUGCCUCUUCCUGAGAAAAUAAUUUAUUUAUUUAGUUUUAGAUGUGGAUUUGCUUAGCAGGUCUUGAAAGUGUUCACCCGUUGCUUUCUUUAUUUUUAUUUUAUUUUAUUAUUUUUUUCUUUUGAAGAAUCUUUCCUUGCUUACCCUAAGCUAGCCCUAAACUUUCCUGCUGAGAUCUUACUAAACUGAUAAAGGUUUGCUAUUUCUCUACCAGUAACCACUUCAGUGUCUUCAAUGUCUUAAAAAGUGCUAUAUACAUUUUUCCCUUUGCUUCUUCUCAUGCCGGUUUUCACUGCUCACUGUCUUUUGUUAUGCACAGAACUUAGUCUCUUCCUGACUUUCUGGAGGUGUUUUAGAGAAAGUGAUUUUUACUUGGUGUAUUUUCCAUCACUGAGUUCUGCUUGUUCUUGCUUAUUCAGAUUUCUAGAUGACUUGUGUUAAAAGAUGUUUAGAUGUAGAGCUUAGGGAUAUGGUUUAGUGGAGGACUGGUUAGUGUUAGGUCAGAGGUUGGACUCGGUGAUCUUGGAGGUCUCUUCCAACCUAGGUGAUUCUGUGAUUCUGUGAUUCUGUGAAAACGUUCUACAUGAAAAAAAGUUCAUGAUAUAGAAAGAAUGUUUUGUGGAGGAUCUAAAUUUUAGCACUUGAACACCUUUCUUGAGGCCAGUUUAGAUUUUCCAUUCAUAUGUCUUACCUAGUACCCUUGUACUGGCCUUUGAGGAUUUUUUCUUGAGUUUGAUAUUGAUUAUUGUCAGUGUCUGCAGGCCUGAACAACAUGCAAGUGAGUGGACAUACAAGCAACCAUAAACUCAGAAUCUGCAAUAACAUGCAAAAUAUCUGACUUCAAAUUGUAGUGGAGGCUGAUCAGCUAGUAGCAUAAUUUUGGCACAUUACUGUAUUAUUGCAGACACAGUUUGGCAGCUGCAUCCAAAUGUGUUUAUGAAGUGUGUUUCCAUUUUUAAUACUUUCUGAGGGCUGUGUUUUAAAGGACAGUAUUUAGAAGGGACAGCAUUUAUUACCAUGUUUAUUGAGUUUUAUGACUUCCUGCCCUGCCCUGUCCUUUUUUUGUGUGUGAGAAAAGGAGCUGAUUUCAACAAAAUCUAAGAAGGUGAAGGUAUAAUUUUGCUUCAUGAAAGCCCCAUAGCACAUUAGUGUGGCUUAGCUCUACAUGUGUUUUCUCAGCUAAAGUGCUUUACAUUUCCAAGGAAUAAUUUUCUACUACUCCUUUUGUUUUUGAGAAGAGACUUGUCAGCGUAUAAUUUUCCUGGCUUUUUAUGUUCCACAUUUUCACAUUUUUUCCCCAGCUUAAAAGCCCUGCUUUACUCCAGUGUUCUACUUUCUGCUACAGUAGCUGUUUUAACAGUAUUGUUACUUUGCUAUUUAAUUCUGUCAGUUUUUUUUUUCUUGGUGAAUUGAUAGUUUCUUGUCACAUAUUUAAUUGCAGGAUAAUUCUAAAGAUCUUUUCCUACCACUUUUUGCUGUCCCCUUUCUUUUCUCUGUUAGUUGCAUUGUAAUAUGAAGUACACAGGCAAAAAACAUGAAGUUCAUCAUGUAGUUGGAAAAUACUCUUGACACAUCUUGGCCCAUUUAUGACCACUGGACUGUUGCCAUUUACUUUGAGGAUGGUGUGGACAAUGCCUUGAGGGUAAUGGUCCUCUCUCAUCAGCAUGAGUAUACCUUCAAGACAAAAGAUUAACAUUUGAUGUGUGUGUUUUCUUAGGGUUUCAAAUAGCAAUGAUUAAGAAACAGGCUCUAAAUGUAUACAUUUCACUGUACUGCAUGUUCUCCAAACUCUGGUUGUUGUGAACUAAGAGUGAGUUUUUAGAGUUUGGCUGGCUUUCAGUAAAUUCCCAUUUAUCUAAGCCCAUGAGCAGAUAGUUUUGUUGAUGGUGAGCUGCAAAGCCAUCCAAGGGCAGCUGAGGCCUGCAAGGGAAAACAUUCUUCUAUAUAUUCUAGGAUGAGAUCAGUCAAAGCCUAAAAGAGAUUCACAAAAGCCAUAGUUUUCAAAAGAGACAUCAGUUUUCAGAAAGAGCUUGGUAUAUAUUGCCUUGCAUGACUAAACUUGCCAGUAUUUUAAGAGAACCUAAUCCUUUAAGUGUGGAGUAAAAGCUGUUGGUUGGCUGUGCGUACUGUUAAUUAAAUAAAAAAAAAAAAUAGAUUUUGUAAUAAACAUUUUAGAGUUAAUUCACACGUAUAAAAUGAUUAUAUUGGCAUAAUAGGGGGACACAAUAUGCAGAGGCAGUGAAUAAUAAUAGCUCCCUCAGUAUCUGUAGGGCCACAGAAUUUUUUUUACUAUAGUCUGGAACAAUGUGUGAGAAGUUUUAAUUAUGCAUCAAAUUCUAAUUUUAUAACCAUAGAACUGCCUAAAAAUAUUUCUACUGUUAUUCACGACAAAUAUAUGAUUCUAUUUUUUUUGUGGAAAUGGUGUGACUGUAGAAGGUACAGUAGUUUUUCUACUAACAGAAUAUAGUAAGUGGGGCAUCACUCAUUUGCUCCUUACAACUCUUCACUGGCACUUAAAAGUUCAGCUUUUAUUCAGUGUAUCCAAUCUUUCUCUUUGUUUUUUAUUUGUUUCAAUUCUAGUAUUACAAACUUUUUGGACCAUACUUUUAAAAAUGAUUUGCAGCACAUCUAGUAAAGUAUUAGUCUUGGUUUUAGAAUAAUGGCUGGCUUAAGAGUAAUUUAGAGGACAUAAAUAAAAAUGAUAAAUGAGUAUGUUCUGCUUUUCAAAGAGUCAAGUGUCCUGCUUAUUUUCUGCUACAGGAAGUUAUCCUUCAUAGAUAUUUCACAUUUGCCUUAAAGCUCAUUUCAUUAUCUAAAAAUAAAAUAGCUAACUAUAUUAAGAAUUAUUUUAUGCAUGUUGUGACUCAAAAAAAUCCAGUUUAUAACACUUUUUCAUGAAUAUUAGAAAGGAUCUUCUGUGCCCUCUUUGGCGAAGUAAGAUCUUUCAGCUGGAAUUUAAUCAUUCAAACAAACAAACAAGCAAAAGCUUUAUUUGGGGGGAGUUAGCAAGUUGCUCCAUGAUACAGUCAUAAAAAUGUACUCUCAAACAACCCUGCAGAAAAAUAUAAUUAUGCUCAUAAACAGAGUCAUUAGAGAUGAAUGAGAAAGGAGUGGACAGAAUGUGUUGCUUGGUAAAUUUAGCUCUGCCUCUGUCUGCCACUUGUUUGUGAGCUGCUUUGGUCUCCCUUGAAUCUAUUUGUUACUCUAAAUUAGUCUCCAGUCAUGGUGGCAGCUCUUGUGUGUUCCCACGGCCCUGGGAGCUAUGCCAAACACGUUCUGCUACAAGCAGAACCUCCUGGAAUGGGCAGGCUAGAGAGGAUGUGUUGGAGUCUGGAUCUGGUCUUCUAGCUUGGUGAGUGGGCAAAGGCUGAAAUUCUUCUCCUUUUGAUAUAAAGCCAAUAAGAUAAACAAUAAAACAGAUAAAUUACCUAGGUAUGGAAAAUUGAAUAAGAGCUGAGAACAUAGAACAUCUGGAUCUCAUUGAAGGCCAAAUCCCAGACAAAUAGGGUGAAGCAAAAAAGAGGUAUCUCAAAAGCACAUCUUAAUCUCAGAAGAAUGGAAAAGAAAUUAAACCUCUGUGAAAAAGAAUCUAUUGGUGCAGUCAGCUGUCUUUGAAGUCAGCUGCUGAGCAAACUUAGUAUCAGUGUAUGUGCUCUCACUGAAGCAGCAAAUUGAUUCUAGAAAGAACUCAAGGAACUUAUAGUGGACUCUAAUGUUGACAUUAAAAUUAUAUCGACACUGAAGUAUUAAAGUGGGAAAAUGAGAAGGAACUAUAUUUGUGACAGCUGCUUACAGUGGAAUCACAUUAAUCUGAUUUGCAGAUCUGAAGACUGCCUUAUUGUACCUCACAAUUGCAUUUGCAAGAACACUACCAUUCAGUGAUGGACUUCUUAUCUACGCGAUCAACCACAAACUUAAUACAACAGACUUAAUUCAGACUUAGAGAAGUUACUUGUGAUACAGGCUGCUAUUGUGAAAGAGAGAAAACUGCUCCUUUAAAGAACUGAAAAUAAGAAAUGAGGCACAGCUAGAGCAGAGGAUCCAAAGAAUAGACCAGAAUCACGUAACGAUGUUAGUCACCAAGAGCUGGCUUUAGAAGACCACUGACUGAUGUGUACAGAGAGUGUUGAUACUGAAGCUUUGUUACAAAGCAUUCAGUCAUAUAAAGAAUGAACUGUUUUAAUGAGUAUCUCAGUGGUGAAGUGGAUAAAGACAAAGAUUCAGAGCCAUUUUCCAGGCUGCUGAUCAACUUGUGGAAGCAUCAUUUUUAUUAUUUUUUAAGGAGUGUAAGGAAGUGGUUAGAGCUAGAAGGAACAACAAAGUUUCUGAAGAAUUAUUAAAACAAAGAAACCUACAAGUUAAA